Long non-coding RNA from Chinchilla lanigera (long-tailed chinchilla), 1379 nucleotides. RefSeq lists it as uncharacterized. The record is from RefSeq and is a predicted model, not a curated record. NCBI's taxonomy places the organism in Eukaryota, Metazoa, Chordata, Mammalia, Rodentia, Chinchillidae. The transcript has 3 exons.
UGGAACACACAGAAAGAUGCCUGGUGCCACAAGUUCCUCUGGUCUGGGACCUUCAGAUAGACUUUUGGUUUCCCUGUCACUCACAAGCCAGCAUAGGGCGAUAAAGAUAACCAAGACCAAAGGAGGCUGGGUCCUCAGACCACUCCCCAGCUAGGCCUCAGGUUACUUGAAAGAAUACAGACACAGGAAAAUCCAGCAGGUGAGAGGCCAAACUGAAUCCUAUUUCUCUCACUGCAGUAUACAAAGAGAGGAAAUUUAACCUAAUAUUGAGCACAGUGGUGAGCCAGGAAUCUGUGCUCUGGUCCUAACAUUGCCCAUGUUCAGCUGUAUAUCUCUUAGGUGGAUCACUUAACCUCUCUGUGUCUCAGUGUCCACAUCUUUCGAAGGGAAAUAACAAAGUGGCUUCCUCAUAGUAUUGCUAGGAUAAACAAAGAGAUAAAAUGGAAUAAUCCAUGUAAAGUCCUAUGAAAAAGUAAAAAAAUACUACACAAAUUAUUAUUCAGUGAUAAGAUACUUCACAUGCUUGAUAUUCUCAGGCUUCCCACUCUCCACCCCAUCUAAUCCCAGCUUCAAGGCAACAAAUUCCUCCAAAAAGAAAGCCUUUUUUUCUAUUGGAGCAACUUUGUAUACAAUCAAUACAUCUGUGUCAACCCAAAGGUUCCUCUGGGCCAAGUGAUAACCCUGUGAAUCCUUUUUCUGGAAGUCCAGGCCAUUAAGACCAUAAACACCUGAAAAAUAUGAGGCCUUCUACUCCUGCAAACCUCUACAUGAUCCUCAGUUCUGAAGGGCCAGAACAGCUCAAAAUAAGAAGUCAGACAGUCCUAGGACUUUCACUAACUUCACUGCCAAGGUGCAACCACACAGGAGGGCAGGGUCCCUUACUACUCAGAGAGUCCUGUGCUCGUUACAGAAGCAACAAAGUCUGCACGCUUGGAUAUGGUUCACCCCUCUCCUACCACACCAUGUGCAGGAACAGAACUGAGCCUCAACAAUUAAGCAACAGCAUUUUUUGCAUGACUUCCAUCACUUGAGCAUGCCCCAAACUUCCAGAUGAACUACUUACAUCUACAGCAGCUGCCUAGUCAUCUGCCAUGGGAGAACAUGGGCAAUUGAAACUCAACUUCCUCUUCCACUCAGAGCCCACAGCAAGUAGUAAGAAGCCAUCUGGAAGUUUUCUGGAGGAUCAGAAAAAGCCAGCCUGGAAUAAUUUUUUAAAAAAGAAGUAGAGUUAUGGUGCUUGGGAAAAGCUGUGAGAAGUGAGUUCCAGGCCCAGCGUUGGCACAAUCUAUGUAACCCUGGGCUUACCUGUUGCCCUGCUGCCCUGUGAGAGAGCAACACCUGGGAGAGAAGUCAGAGGAGUGAAUCAGAGGAGCGACAGG